GCCUUCAAUAACGGAGGUCCUAAUGUGUCUAACACCUUUGUGAACAGUUUUUGGUACUUGGAUCAGCUUGGGAUGGCAGCCACAUAUCACACUAAAGUAUAUUGCAGGCAGACUUUUAUUGGUGGAAACUAUGGGCUCCUUGACACAAGUACAUUUGUCCCAAAUCCUGAUUAUUAUAGUGCACUUCUUUGGCAUCGGCUGAUGGGAAAAGGAGUUCUUGCUGUUAGCAACA
Molecule: unclassified non-coding RNA, 232 nt
Filed under: Hevea brasiliensis (rubber tree)
Lineage: Eukaryota; Viridiplantae; Streptophyta; Magnoliopsida; Malpighiales; Euphorbiaceae
Source: RNAcentral